This 468-nucleotide ribosomal RNA is filed under the name uncultured diatom. Its description in RNAcentral is "SSU rRNA". It matches the Rfam family "Bacterial small subunit ribosomal RNA", at positions 217 to 699 of the family's 1533-position model. Lineage: Eukaryota; Bacillariophyta. The record is from RNAcentral.
GCCUAAAGAGAAGCUUGCGGCUGAUUAGCUUGUUGGUAAGGUAAUGGCUUACCAAGGCGACGAUCAGUAUCUGGUUUGAGAGGACGAUCAGACACACUGGAACUGAGACACGGUCCAGACUCCUACGGGAGGCAGCAGUGGGGAAUUUUCCGCAAUGGGCGAAAGCCUGACGGAGCAAUACCGCGUGAGGGAUGACGGCCUAUGGGUUGUAAACCUCUUUUUUCAGGGAGGAACAAAAUGACGUUACCUGAAGAAUAAGCAUCGGCUAACUCCGUGCCAGCAGCCGCGGUAAGACGGGGGAUGCAAGUGUUAUCCGGAAUCACUGGGCGUAAAGCGUCUGUAGGUGGUUUAAUAAGACAACUGUUAAAUCUUGAGGCUUAACUUCAAAAUCGCAGUCGAAACUAUUAGACUAGAGUAUAGUAGGGGUAAAGGGAAUUUCCAGUGGAGCGGUGAAAUGCGUAGAGAUUG